CGGCAGGUUCAGAAAUAGUCCCAUCUAUGAAACCUAGUUUGUUUUUUUUUUUCGAAGAGCUCUCCUCAUUGAUCUUUUCCAAGAAUGAUAGUUGCUGGAAUCCAGCAUUUGAGUGACCAGCGGUGCUCCAGAACUAUCAUUGUUACCAAUAAAAUAUGGACUAUAUGGCUGGGAUGGAUCAAUAGAAUUUGGAUCUGGAAGUAUGUUCUGAUUCUGAUUUGUGUUGGUAGAAUUUUCUUGUUCUGUGUUUGGUGGUAGAUUUUGGUUUUGAUUUGAGUUGAAAUCCUCUUGAGUCAUAGUGGCUCUGAUACCAUAAAAGAAAAGCCAACAAAAGGGAACGAAUUACACAAGGGGAAGAAUGUUUUACUGUGUAUUCUUUUUUAUAUCAAAAUACAAACUGGUAGUGCCCUUAUAUAAUUGAAGAAAAGGAAUAUUCCUAUCAAACUCUACACUAGUUGUACAAAACAGUUCCAACCAAAAAUUAAUUCUUCCACUCAUAACAGAUUUGGAGCCUAAUAUAUACACACAAAUUCUUUUAGCUGAUUCUUCUAGAAUUCAAUGCGUAGCUGGUAGUUCUUGGACUUUGCUGGAAUCUCUACUGGCAACAAGCUUCCUUCCUGCUUUCUUCUUGUCAUAUUUUAACAGUUAACUUUGGUUUUUAGGGCUCUCAUAUCAUAUGAGCUGUGAAGUUCAGUUUUUUGGCUUUGCUAUUGAGCAUUUCAGUUCGGGUUCCAUUUUUUCCCUGUAAGUCAUACUUAAAGUUGACAUGUAAUGUGCCUACUUUUGCAAGUUGAAGGCAGGUACGUAUCUCCAGAAGUUUGGACCAGUUGAACUCUUGCAAGUGAUGAUUGUGCAUGACAUUUGGUGCCAAUCAAUAUAAGCACUUCCGAGAAUCUACGUAUCAAAUAUUUUUGUUGGAUGAACGGAUGUUUUUAUAUUCUUAUUUGCCAAACUAGAAUGCCCUGCUUUCUUCUUUGAAAUCUAUGUUGCAAACUUAUAAUGGCCGUUUCGGUCUCUCUUUUGUAGACAACCUUCAG
Molecule: long non-coding RNA, 1037 nt
Filed under: Olea europaea subsp. europaea
Lineage: Eukaryota; Viridiplantae; Streptophyta; Magnoliopsida; Lamiales; Oleaceae
Source: RNAcentral